Hibiscus syriacus is the source of this 610-nucleotide long non-coding RNA. RefSeq lists it as uncharacterized. Lineage: Eukaryota; Viridiplantae; Streptophyta; Magnoliopsida; Malvales; Malvaceae. The record is from RefSeq and is a predicted model, not a curated record. The transcript is spliced from 3 exons.
AUCUUUUAAUCUCUAAGUGCAUAUCUUAACUUUACGAAGUGGAAAAUACUGUUAUUCACAAGUUUGGAUGCAUUAGUGAAGGAGUUUGUGUCUGGUAGUAACGAUGAGAAGAAAACAAUCUUCUCCAAGAUUUAAGAGGAAGUAGAGAAGCUCACAGGUUCAACUGCGAGGUAUGGAAAGAUAUACUUGAAAGCUGGUAAAAGCUAUUUAGAGAAAUGUGUUGAUUAUCCCAAGAAGGAAAUUUAGCGGCUGCAUCGUAUUCUUGAGAAGUCAAGAAGCCUAACAAAAGCUGAUGAAUUCAUGUUGAAGAAUAACAUCCUAUCAACAUUUGCAUCUUCCUAGAUCAUCGUAUGUCCGUGUAGUGCUGUAGCGGCAUGGUAAAGUUUCGUUGACAUUUUUGAGGACUAGUUUUGCUCCUGGUGGUGGGAUUAUCAUAGUGUUUAAUGUUUAAGCUUUUGAGGAUCUUUCAACAGUAAAUUGUUGGACCAUGACUUGAGUUGAGCACAUAUGCGUGUAGCGGCAACAGUAACUAGUAAAGAGCUUAUGUUAUUUUUCUCUUUUUAUCUAGUUAGAACAAUGAUUUUAUUCGACAUUUCGUUGCAUUGGUGCC